Molecule: ribosomal RNA, 324 nt
Filed under: uncultured Desulfobacter sp.
Lineage: Bacteria; Pseudomonadati; Thermodesulfobacteriota; Desulfobacteria; Desulfobacterales; Desulfobacteraceae
Description: bacterial SSU rRNA
Rfam family: Bacterial small subunit ribosomal RNA
Source: RNAcentral
AAUGAACGCUGGCGGCGUGCUUAACACAUGCAAGUCGAACGAGAAAGGGAUUGCUUGCAGUCCUGAGUAGAGUGGCGCACGGGUGAGUAACACGUAGAUAAUCUGCCUUUAAGCCUGGGAUAACUAUUCGAAAGGAUAGCUAAUACCGGAUAAAGUCGAUUUACACAAGUAGAUUGAUGAAAGAUUGCCUCUUCUUGAAAGCAAUUGUUUGGGGACGAGUUUGCGUACCAUUAGCUUGUUGGUGGGGUAAAGGCCUACCAAGGCAACGAUGGUUAGCUGGUCUGAGAGGAUGAUCAGCCACACUGGAACUGGAACACGGUCCAG